AGCAAGUACCACCUAUAAGUAAUGGGUGUUGGAAGUGAGAGAUAUCUUACUCCAUACUCUCUUUGUGUAUAACCUUGCUGAUGCUAAGUGUUGUGUCAUCUAAGUACUUAAUUUCUUAAUAGGUUAUGGGUCCACUCAUCUUUACUUGUGAGUUUUGAAGUACUUUGAAGUCUUGAAUUUGAGUUUGAGUUUGUAUUUGUAAUCUUCUAAUCUUUUUUAUGCAUCUAUUUGUAGAUGUAAUUUUGCACUUAUUUAUCAUUAAAUAUACUCACAGUCUUUGUUGAUGUUAGACUCCAUAUAAUGAUAUUUUAGAACUCUAGUGUUAUAUUUUAUUGCUGAAAUUUAUCAUUGAUGUUCUA
This 359-nucleotide long non-coding RNA is filed under the name Physcomitrium patens. RNAcentral describes it as "long non-coding RNA (PPAT_LNC009903)". The record is from RNAcentral. Lineage: Eukaryota; Viridiplantae; Streptophyta; Bryopsida; Funariales; Funariaceae.